GUGAGGAAUAUUGCGCAAUGGAGGCAACUCUGACGCAGCCAUGCCGCGUGCAGGAAGAAGGCGCUACGCGUUGUAAACUGCUUUUAACCGGGAAGAAACCCCAGGACGUGUCCUGGGUUGACGGUACCGGAGGAAUAAGCACCGGCUAACUUCGUGCCAGCAGCCGCGGUAAUACGAAGGGUGCAAGCGUUAUCCGGAUUCAUUGGGUUUAAAGGGUGCGUAGGCGGAGCGUUAAGUCAGUGGUGAAAUCCUGCAGCUUAACUGUAGACUUGCCAUUGAGACUGGCGCUCUUGAGUGCGCUUGAAGUGGGCGGAAUGUGCCGUGUAGCGGUGAAAUGCUUAGAUAUGGCACAGAACACCAAUUGCGAAGGCAGCUCACUAAGGCGAUACUGACGCUGAGGCACGAAAGCGUGGGGAUCGAACAGGAUUAGAUACCCCUGUAGUCC
RNAcentral lists this ribosomal RNA (445 nucleotides) under uncultured bacterium. RNAcentral describes it as "partial 16S ribosomal RNA". It matches the Rfam family "Bacterial small subunit ribosomal RNA", at positions 354 to 796 of the family's 1533-position model. The record is from RNAcentral.